GUGGGGAAUAUUGGGCAAUGGGGGAAACCCUGACCCAGCGACGCCGCGUGAGGGAAGACGGCCUUCGGGUUGUAAACCUCUUUUGUACGGGAAGAAGGAAGUGACGGUACUGUACGAAUAAGUCCCGGCUAACUACGUGCCAGCAGCCGCGGUAAUACGUAGGGGACGAGCGUUGUCCGGAAUUACUGGGCGUAAAGGGCGCGCAGGCUGUGCUGCAAGUCAGCUGUGAAAUGUCUGGGCUUAACCCGGGCAUGCGGUUGAGACUGCAGUGCUGGAGUGCUGUAGAGGCAAGUGGAAUUCCCAGUGUAGCGGUGAAAUGCGUAGAUAUUGGGAAGAACACCGGUGGCGAAGGCGACUUGCUGGGCAGCAACUGACGCUGAGGCGCGAAAGCCAGGGGAGCAAACGGGAUUAGAUACCCUAGUAGUCC
Molecule: ribosomal RNA, 427 nt
Filed under: uncultured bacterium
Lineage: Bacteria
Description: partial 16S ribosomal RNA
Rfam family: Bacterial small subunit ribosomal RNA
Source: RNAcentral